AGCAGCAUAGCUUAGUGGAAAGAGCACGGGCUUGGGAGUCAGAGGUCGUGGGUUCUAAUCCCACUUCUGUCA
This is a non-coding RNA of Ornithorhynchus anatinus (platypus), 72 nucleotides long. Lineage: Eukaryota; Metazoa; Chordata; Mammalia; Monotremata; Ornithorhynchidae. The record is from Rfam.